CAUCUACCUAACCCUAGCAGUCGCGCGCUCCCGGGCUUCUCUCCCAGCCGCCGCCGCCGCCUCUCCCUUCCCUCACCUCGCUCCUCUCUGUCCUGACCAAGCAGCAACGGCUGAGCCCUGGCCGAGCCGCUCUCCCCCGACGCACCUGCACCGACCCUAGUGCCACUAUGAGAGUUCGGAGCGGAGGCCGAGCGGGACCGCGGGAGGGGGCGGCCGGGGUCCGGUCCGGGGAGGCGGGGACCAGGGCAACGCACAACGCGCCGGCGGUGACCAGUAGCCCGCUCUGACACCAGCUCCUCGCAUCGCAUCUCCCCUACUAGGCCUCCUCGUCCCGACAUGCAAUUGAAAAAGAGAUAGAUCUUUUUAUAGGCGAAGUGUUGAAGAUGGCUUUGGUGAAAGAAAUGUCUUGUUAGCAUCAAGUAAGUGGCGACAUCACAACCCCUACAAGCUUGUGCCUUAAAACAAGAGGAUACAAGAAGUUGGAGUGCUUUUAUGAAGGCUUUUGCGAAUCACUUGAAGCGUUAGUACUUUUGUGAAUGAUUUUGUAAAGUGUUUGCAAAUAUGUGCAAAACAUAAUAACAUGUGUAGGUUUUGUGAAUGAUUUUGUUGUGGUGCUUGUUGAUGGUUUAUGUGAUGUGGAUCUAUCAUUGUGCAAUACUAAUUAAAUUUGUAUAUCUAUGUGAUUAUGUGUAUAAAAAUUGGU
Molecule: long non-coding RNA, 703 nt
Filed under: Zea mays
Lineage: Eukaryota; Viridiplantae; Streptophyta; Magnoliopsida; Poales; Poaceae
Description: drought responsive lncRNA
Source: RNAcentral